GAUGAACGCUGGCUACAGGCUUAACACAUGCAAGUCGAGGGGAAACGACGGGGAAGCUUGCUUCCCCGGGCGUCGACCGGCGCACGGGUGAGUAACGCGUAUCCAACCUGCCUCUGACUGAGGGAUAACCCGUCGAAAGUCAGCCUAAUACCUCAUGGCAUCGUCUGCGGGCAUCCAACGACGAUUAAAGAUUUCAUCGGUCAGGGAGGGGGAUGCGUCUGAUUAGCUUGUUGGCGGGUUAACGGCCCACCAAGGCUACGAUCAGUAGGGGUUCUGAGAGGAAGGUCCCCGAGAUUGGAACUGAGAAACGGUCCAAACUCCUACGGGAGGCAGCAGUGAGGAAUAUUGGUGAAGGGGAGGGAGCCUGAACCAGCCAAGUAGCGUGCAGGAUGACGGCGCUAUGGGUGGUAAACUGCUUUUAUGCGGGGAUAAAGUGAGGGACGUGUCCUUCAUUGCAGGUACCGGAUGAAUAAGGACCGGCUAAUUCCGUG
Molecule: ribosomal RNA, 491 nt
Filed under: uncultured bacterium
Lineage: Bacteria
Description: partial 16S ribosomal RNA
Rfam family: Bacterial small subunit ribosomal RNA
Source: RNAcentral